This 472-nucleotide ribosomal RNA is filed under the name uncultured bacterium. Its description in RNAcentral is "bacterial SSU rRNA". It matches the Rfam family "Bacterial small subunit ribosomal RNA", at positions 28 to 491 of the family's 1533-position model. The record is from RNAcentral.
GACGAACGCUGGCGGCGUGCUUAACACAUGCAAGUCGUGCGGUAACAGGCGUAGCAAUACGUGCUGACGAGCGGCGAACGGGUGCGUAAUACAUGGGAAUCUGCCCUUUAGUGGGGAAUAACCCGGCGAAAGCCGGGCUAAUGCCGCAUAAGAUCUUCGGAUGAAAGCGGGGGAUCGUAAGACCUCGCGCUGAUGGAUGAGCCCAUGUCGGAUUAGCUAGUUGGNGAGGUAACGGCUCACCAAGGCGACGAUCCGUAGCUGGUCUGAGAGGACGGCCAGCCACACUGGGACUGAGACACGGCCCAGACUCCUACGGGAGGCAGCAGUGGGGAAUAUUGGACAAUGGGCGAAAGCCUGAUCCAGCGACGCCGCGUGUGUGAAGAAGGCCUGCGGGUUGUAAAGCACUUUCGAUGGGAACGAAAUAGCGCCGGCUAAUAAUCCCGGCAAGCUGACGUUACUCAAUAGAAGAAGC